Molecule: long non-coding RNA, 301 nt
Filed under: Cicer arietinum (chickpea)
Lineage: Eukaryota; Viridiplantae; Streptophyta; Magnoliopsida; Fabales; Fabaceae
Description: long non-coding RNA (CARI_LNC002329)
Source: RNAcentral
UACGUGACAGGAAUUGGGUCAAAACAGGUUGUCCUUUUUUGAUUGACAGGUGGUCUGUAGUGAUUUGAGAUUGGAUUUUGGUUCCAUUGACUUUGUUGGGAAAAUGGGGUAGGUGGUGGUUGAUAAAAAGGUGGUCUUGAAGGGUGAUAUUGAGGGUAUGAAGCUUGUGUGGUUGCAGCCACAUAUGGAUAAGGAAUGUAAGGAGUUUGUGAUAUUGGGGGCUGGAAGUUUGGGGGUCGAUAAGAAUUGAUGGGUGGAAAAUAGGAGACUCUGGGGUUUACCAUUACAGCAUUAGCGUCCC